CUAAACUAUUCCUCUCUCUUCCCCUUUCCUCUUCUGUGAAAACCAUAGUGUUGCACCUCGAUUCUCCUCCUCUCUCUCUCCUCCAAAAAUGGCAAAAGCGCAGAGGGUACAGAGAGAGUACAGCUUUUGAAUGUCUUUUGUGGUGAAACAAUUAAUGUUUCCACCCGAUUUCGCGAAAUAAACUCCAAUUGCGGUAUUAAUCCUUUCCCUUUUUACUUUUUCUUCAAUUUUUAAGUCAAACAAUAUGAUUUUCUGUGUCUUUGUUGUUAUAUUGUAAAUGUACAAACUCGAUUUUCAUUGGUUCACAACAGAUUGGUGAGGAUCUACCUGAAAUAUGUCAAAUCCAACCGCAUAUGUUUAUUUUCUGUAGAUCCUAGCCGUUGAUUUCAUGGUAUUACGUUUUGCAUCUGAAAGAUCAUGUUGCCCCACAUCAAAUUUUAGGUCUUCACAAGAAUUUUGGGGUUCUAUAGAACCCCAACCCUCUCACAAAAUAAGUUUUUGGGAAGUUUCAAAAAGUUUUAGAACACAAAAAGCUUGAGAUUUGAAUUAAAAAUUCGAAACUUGAGCUUACCAGUAUAAUUUUAGGCUUUAACUUUAAGGUUGAAGUCUUAUUAGUUCUAAAGUUUAUUUUCUUUGUGUUUUGUGUGGCUGAGUGUGGAAUUGGGAAGCAUAAAGGGUCUUCAAAUCAAUUCUUGUACACGGCUGCGCAUAAAAAAGAUUGUGAUAUAGAGACCGUUGCUCCUCCUCACAUCUAGCAUGGAGGAUAUUUGUUGACAGAUUUUGGGUGAGCUUCUUCCCAUGCCAGGCUGCCCAAAGAUCUUCUUGCUAUGAUGUCUUUUCGUACUCUGGACAUUAUGGAUUACUUACUUGUUAGACUUCAGAUUCUUAGACAUGUUUUUAGCAUAGAGUCCUGUAUGAUGACUUUCGAAUUUUGGGGAUUGUAAUAAUUAGAACUUUCGCGCUUAUUUCAGUAUUUAUGGCAUGACUUAUUUUGUUCUUUGA
Lycium barbarum (goji berry) is the source of this 1002-nucleotide long non-coding RNA. RefSeq lists it as uncharacterized. The record is from RefSeq and is a predicted model, not a curated record. Lineage: Eukaryota; Viridiplantae; Streptophyta; Magnoliopsida; Solanales; Solanaceae. The transcript is spliced from 2 exons.